This is a non-coding RNA of Mycena rosella, 94 nucleotides long. Lineage: Eukaryota; Fungi; Basidiomycota; Agaricomycetes; Agaricales; Mycenaceae. The record is from the annotation of a GenBank genome assembly.
GGCCCUGUGGUGUAGUGGUUACACGUCCUCUAUCUAUUGGUUCUGUGCACCCAAAGUUUAUGAGGAAGUUACUGUUCGAAUCAGGGCAGGGCCA